RNAcentral lists this ribosomal RNA (205 nucleotides) under uncultured Actinomycetales bacterium. Its description in RNAcentral is "partial 16S ribosomal RNA". It matches the Rfam family "Bacterial small subunit ribosomal RNA", at positions 128 to 334 of the family's 1533-position model. The record is from RNAcentral. Lineage: Bacteria; Bacillati; Actinomycetota; Actinomycetes; Actinomycetales.
GCCCUUGACUUUGGGAUAACUUCAGGAAACUGGGGCUAAUACCGGAUAGGAGCUCCUGCUGCAUGGUGGGGGUUGGAAAGUUUCGGCGGUUGGGGAUGGACUCGCGGCUUAUCAGCUUGUUGGUGGGGUAGUGGCUUACCAAGGCUUUGACGGGUAGCCGGCCUGAGAGGGUGACCGGCCACAUUGGGACUGAGAUACGGCCCAG